UGCUUCGGCCGGGAAUCGAACCCGGGCCGUCCGCGUGGUAGGCGAGCAUUCUACCACUGAACCACAGAUGC
Molecule: transfer RNA, 71 nt
Filed under: Cordylochernes scorpioides
Lineage: Eukaryota; Metazoa; Arthropoda; Arachnida; Pseudoscorpiones; Chernetidae
Description: tRNA-Gly
Source: RNAcentral